RNAcentral lists this ribosomal RNA (274 nucleotides) under uncultured bacterium. RNAcentral's name for it is "partial 16S ribosomal RNA". It matches the Rfam family "Bacterial small subunit ribosomal RNA", at positions 523 to 796 of the family's 1533-position model. The record is from RNAcentral.
AUACGGAGGGUGCAAGCGUUACUCGGAAUCACUGGGCGUAAAGGAUGCGUAGGCUGGAUGUCAAGUUGGAAGUGAAAUCCUAUGGCUUAACCAUAGAACUGCUUCCAAAACUGGCAACCUAGAGUGAGGGAGAGGCAGAUGGAAUUAGUGGUGUAGGGGUAAAAUCCGUAGAUAUCACUAGGAAUACCGAUUGCGAAGGCGAUCUGCUAGAACUAUACUGACGCUAAGGCAUGAAAGCGUGGGGAGCAAACAGGAUUAGAUACCCUAGUAGUCC